GCUAUGCAGUUUGAUCUGAUUCUGUGGACCAUCCAUUUCCAGUUGGAAAGCUCAAUUACUUUCAACUGCCAGAAUCAAAAAACCAGACUUAACAGCGGCUUCAGCAUACAGAGCUUUAUUUCUCUCACAGAACGAGGAGACCGGAAGUGGGCGGUCCGGCCCGAGUCAUGCAAGACUCAGGUUUUCCUUUCUGCUCCACCAACCUUACCAUGUUGGAUUUCUUCCUUGUGCUUGUUGCCUCAUGGUGGCAAGGUAGCUGCAGCACCUCUGGACUCAUUUUUAAGGAUCUGCUUCCCUGGGAAUUCAACCUAUGACUAUUGGUAUCAGCAGUGGUUGAAGAAAGAAGGUGCUAAGAUAAGAUUUUGGAAUUAGAUCACCCAUCAUCCAGCUGACAGUAAGGACCCUGCCUUACCUAGUAAGAGAAAAACCAAACACAGAUAAAACUGAGAUCAUCUUCACUCCCUCUCUCCUUCCCUGGAGAGAAAAAGAGUAUGGAUUUCUCUCUAUACUGCUCAACAUGGCAAAAGACCCUGAGUUACUGGAAUUAAUGGGAAGACUGGAGCAGCUCUGGAUAAGACACCAGUGAGGAAACUUCACCUCUGAGCAGCCCAGACCUUCUCACGAGGCUUCUUACUGCUCCCAGAUCCUCCUUCUGAAGAAAUCACCAGCCUCCGGUGGGGUCACAAGGCUUUAGUAACCAGGAACUAAACAGCAUGGAAAUGUGAUGAAUCGCAUGGAGGCAAAACAGGACCACAGCAGUACCUGCUGUUAUCAAAGCCAGAUCAAAGUGCUGCCUGCUUGGUCGUCUUUCAGUUACCCAGGCUACUGCAGCUGCCAACGUUCUUGCCAAAGCUCUGCUUCACCAGCACCCUGAUCCAAAAAGCCCCGCGUUAGCGAGAGAAGGCUUUGCCAGCGCAGAGCAGCUGUAAGGCUUCCCAACACCAAGACAGCGUGCAGGAGUUCAGCGCAGGAGCUUCAAAGCAGCUCUCUCCCAGGAGACCCCUUGGCCUCCGCAUCCGGACAGAAAAGAAGCAGUGACGCCGGCCACCUGGAACUGCACCAGAAAAUGAUGCAGUGGCCACCAGCAGCCACUUGCCCUGACUGCCCACCCACCCCAGGAAGCGAGGAGGCUUUUUAAAGGCCUGUUUGUGCUGGUAGUGGGAGCUGCCGGGUAAGGGUGAGCUUCACGGCCAUUUCCGUCCAGGCUUCCUUAGAGCUGAGCCCGAGCCUCCCAGCUGAGCUUAGCUGGGAGGUGGGCCAGGGGCUCUCAAGGGGACACUGGGAAGCCCUCCAGGCACCACGCCAGUGCCUGUGCGCACCUCCUUGCACUUCCAAAGUAGCUGUCCUGCCUCUGCCCAGCCUGAGACCUGUUGGUCUCCUCCUGCUUGGAGCCAGAGGUAGCUCACUCCUGAAGGAUGCCCCGUGUUUCGAGGCUCUCUUUGACUCUUGCCGUAGUGAGCCAGCCUCUGAAACCCCAGUCGCCUCGGGGGCCUGGCCUUGUGGGAGCCACCAGCAGGCCAUCUACUCAGCCUCCAACGUUGCAGCCUCAGGGGAAGAAGGACCAGGUGCAGUUCGCGAGGGGGUUAUGAAACCUGAGAAGAAGCUGGAGUGGCUUUGGGCUGGUCCUUUGAGAACAGGCAGGUAUUGUGUGGUUGGGUACAGAGGGGGUAUAGAAUACCCAUACAAACACAUACAAACACCAUCCCAGCCUUGAGCGGGGAGGGAGCAAGGGCCUUCCAGGAGCCUGGGUGAUCUCCAACCAGAAUGGAAGAAGGAAGGCUGUGUCCAUGAGGAGGUUGGUGACCCACACCCAGAAGAAAGCAGGCCCAGACGCCAAGACGGACAUGUUUCCCAGCCCUCACCCCAAUGCACACAACAAUUCCAUAGAUCUCAGAACAUAUGCCUGAGACACCUCUGGGGAUACGGAAAUUCCAUCGGUCAGUGAUCAAAGAAUGUUUUCCUAAAAUCCUUUGGUGGGCAUUAGUUUCUCCACAUGUCAUCAUGCUGGCUAUCAGCAAAUAAUUACUGUCUGUGUGGUCAAAGGUCAGUGCCUGCCCUCCCAGCCCCUGCAUCCUGAAGACAGACUGCAAAGGGCAGCAAAGCUUAGCUGGAUCUUGAGCAACCAGACACAGCUGGCUUGCAACUGGUCAAACACAGGAGACACAGGACACCUCACCUUUGUGCUGAAGUCAAAGCUUUGCAUGUUUUACCAUUUUUCUCUUUCACAGUGGCUGGAAGGCUGGGAAAGGUGAGAAGGGAAUAAGAGCAGGAGAGAAAUUGGGUGAGAGCACAAUGGCGUGUGGAGAGAGUGAUAACAGAGUGAGAGGUAGUGGGCCUGGGGGAGGGAGCUGUGGGAGGGCGGCUCCCAGGUCUGAGUGGGGAAGGAGAUGGGCAGACACCUAAUCAAGUCAUUGUUUCCCCUGGGGCUGGGCUUAUCUUCUCCAUCUGUCCUCCCACAGUCAGCCAGUGCUCUGGACUUGGUAGGUUUCCCUUUCUCCCUUUCCUUACUGUGAUGAAGGCUGUAGUUAUCAAUGUCCUGGUUCCUGCAGCCCCAGGCAGCCACACGAAGAUCCCAGGUCAGUCCCUCACCCUGUGGCCUCUAAAAAAGAUAAAAUCCAGGCAGAGGGGGUGGGAGGACCUUCCUCACCGUGUUUCCAGUCAUCAGUGGCCACUCCAAUGCCCUCUUUCCCAACUGGUCAUCUCUGCCGCUAAGGUCACCGUAUUCUGAGUACCCCAGCCUCCCCCUGGAGAAGGGCUGCACCUGCUCCUUAAAAGUUUGUCUCUGUGCCUUCGCUUACACCUUCUCUGUAACCUAAAGCCUGCCCAUUCCAUCUGUCAUAAUCUGACCUUUAUUUUUAAAAUCCAGCUCCUCUGUGCAGCUUUUCCUGAUUCCCAUUCCCAAUUAACCUGUCCCUUCUCUGCUCAGAAUUUUGUGACUUGAAUGUAAACACUACUUAUUAAAGCCAGUAGUGCUUACAGCUGUGGCCUUCUUCAUGCUGUGUCCACACCCCCACUCACAAAACUCUAGCGAGUACCAGGUAGACACUUAGGACGUGUUGAUUGACUUGUUGGACGGAAUGACUGAGGACAUGACAGCUGUGAUCAAUCAAGAGUCCACAGUCACCAUUUCCCAGGCCACCCGGACAGUUUCCACAGCAGAGCCUGCUGCAGAGUGGAGACGUGCUCCGAUUAUUUAUUUAUGCAGUUAUUAGUGUUAAUUUUAUUGUUAGUAUUAUUGAUAUUCUUUUCUUGUCAUUUCACAGAGCAUCCUUGAUCAAACAUUCUGCUUUCUUUGGCAACUGCACCUCCCUUCCCUCUACCAAACUGACUCAUUUUCCUCUUCCUUAA
Balaenoptera acutorostrata (minke whale) is the source of this 3348-nucleotide long non-coding RNA. RefSeq lists it as uncharacterized. The record is from RefSeq and is a predicted model, not a curated record. The transcript has 6 exons. Lineage: Eukaryota; Metazoa; Chordata; Mammalia; Artiodactyla; Balaenopteridae.